AUACCUUUCUCGGCCUUUUGGCUAAGAUCAAGUGUAGUAUCUGUUCUUAUCAGUUUAAUAUCUGAUAUGUGGGCCAUGUGUCCACAACGAUAUUAAAUUUAUUUUUUAUGGGGGAGGGUCCAUCACAAUGGCUUGCCGUUGGGCCCUCAGCUGUUGCUUGGGCGUUGCACUACAGCCCAGGCAGGCGCACCCCAA
RNAcentral lists this small nuclear RNA (195 nucleotides) under Triticum aestivum (bread wheat). RNAcentral describes it as "snRNA U2". It matches the Rfam family "U2 spliceosomal RNA". From Rfam's summary of the family: U2 is a small nuclear RNA (snRNA) component of the spliceosome (involved in pre-mRNA splicing). Complementary binding between U2 snRNA (in an area lying towards the 5' end but 3' to hairpin I) and the branchpoint sequence (BPS) of the intron results the bulging out of an unpaired adenosine, on the BPS, which initiates a nucleophilic attack at the intronic 5' splice site, thus starting the first of two transesterification reactions that mediate splicing. The record is from Rfam by way of RNAcentral. RNAcentral also lists the same sequence under 1 other name. Lineage: Eukaryota; Viridiplantae; Streptophyta; Magnoliopsida; Poales; Poaceae.